Long non-coding RNA from Beta vulgaris subsp. vulgaris (sugar beet), 551 nucleotides. RefSeq lists it as uncharacterized. The transcript is spliced from 3 exons. Lineage: Eukaryota; Viridiplantae; Streptophyta; Magnoliopsida; Caryophyllales; Amaranthaceae. The record is from RefSeq and is a predicted model, not a curated record.
GGGAAGCUGUAGGAGUAGUUAACCAAAUGGGUUAAGGAGUUUCGUGGCCUUAAACAUCAUUAGUAAAGCAUAAUACUCAUCAGGUUCCAGUAAUUCAAGGGGGAGUGGAAGAGAGGUUCAACUUGCAAGCAUAAAGCGAACAUGGGGAAGAAAUUUUGGGGUGUUCGAAGUGUCAGGAGGACAAUGAAGGCCCAUGCCCUCGAUGUGAGUUUUUGCAGAUGAAGCUAAUGGAGCAAUACACCAUAAUUGGUGAAUUUGAAUUGCAGCUCAAAGGUGUGGAGGAAAAGUUGCAGAAGCUGGAAUUGAAGAAAGAGAAGAUGAAGGAAGCAAUGCAUAGUAUGAGUGAUGAAAUGUUGAAGAUAAAUUUUGAGAGUUUGAAGACUGCCAAAGGGGAAAAUUAUGUUGUAAUUGCUUAAGGCUUGUCAUGGGUUCCGUUUGUAUCCUUGCAAUUUGGUUAUAUUAAAUUAAGCUUGCGAGUAAUGAAUUAAGGUAUGAACUGUUUGUAAUCUGAAUUAUCAUGAAUGUUAUUAGUAUGAAAAGCUUAUCUUGCA